RNAcentral lists this ribosomal RNA (253 nucleotides) under uncultured bacterium. RNAcentral describes it as "partial 16S ribosomal RNA". It matches the Rfam family "Bacterial small subunit ribosomal RNA", at positions 524 to 776 of the family's 1533-position model. The record is from RNAcentral.
GACGAACCGUCCUAACGUUGUUCGGAAUCACUGGGCUUAAAGGGCGCGUAGGCGGCCUUGAAAGUCGGGGGUGAAAUCCCACGGCCUAACCGUGGAAGUGCCUCCGAUACUGCAAGGCUCGAGGGAGGUAGGGGCAGCUGGAACUUCCGGUGGAGCGGUGAAAUGCGUUGAUAUCGGAAGGAACGCCGGUGGCGAAGGCGAGCUGCUGGACCUCUGCUGACGCUGAGGCGCGAAAGCCAGGGGAGCAAACGGG